AAGGAAGUAGCUUAGUGGUAGAGCGCAUGCUUAGCAUGCAUGAGGUCCUGGGUUCAGUCCCCGGUGCUCUGU
RNAcentral lists this transfer RNA (72 nucleotides) under Camelus bactrianus (Bactrian camel). It matches the Rfam family "tRNA". From Rfam's summary of the family: Transfer RNA (tRNA) molecules are approximately 80 nucleotides in length. Their secondary structure includes four short double-helical elements and three loops (D, anti-codon, and T loops). RNAcentral also lists the same sequence under 2 other names. The record is from Rfam by way of RNAcentral. Lineage: Eukaryota; Metazoa; Chordata; Mammalia; Artiodactyla; Camelidae.